RNAcentral lists this ribosomal RNA (503 nucleotides) under uncultured bacterium. RNAcentral describes it as "partial 16S ribosomal RNA". It matches the Rfam family "Bacterial small subunit ribosomal RNA", at positions 30 to 523 of the family's 1533-position model. The record is from RNAcentral.
AUUGAACGCUGGCGGCAGGCUUAACACAUGCAAGUCGAGCGGGGGAGGUUGCUUCGGUAACUGACCUAGCGGCGGACGGGUGAGUAAUACUUAGGAAUCUGCCUAUUAAUGGGGGACAACAUCCCGAAAGGGAUGCUAAUACCGCAUACGCCCUACGGGGGAAAGCAGGGGAUCACUUGUGACCUUGCGUUAAUAGAUGAGCCUAAGUCGGAUUAGCUAGUUGGUGGGGUAAAGGCCUACCAAGGCGACGAUCUGUAGCGGGUCUGAGAGGAUGAUCCGCCACACUGGGACUGAGACAUGGCCCAGACUCCUACGGGAGGCAGCAGUGGGGAAUAUUGGACAAUGGGGGGAACCCUGAUCCAGCCAUGCCGCGUGUGUGAAGAAGGCCUUAUGGUUGUAAAGCACUUUAAGCGAGGAGGAGGCUCAUUUGGUUAAUACCCAAGAUGAGUGGACGUUACUCGCAGAAUAAGCACCGGCUAACUCUGUGCCAGCAGCCGCCGCCG